Labrus mixtus (cuckoo wrasse) is the source of this 950-nucleotide long non-coding RNA. RefSeq lists it as uncharacterized. The record is from RefSeq and is a predicted model, not a curated record. Lineage: Eukaryota; Metazoa; Chordata; Actinopteri; Labriformes; Labridae. The transcript is spliced from 3 exons.
UAUCAGAUUCCCAGAAAAACAAACAGAUGUGGCAACGUGAUCUCAGGUUUACAGCAGGACUUUGAUCAGGAAGUUAAUUUUGCUGAGGUGAGCUGAGGUGAGAGGAUUCGUCGACGCAUUAUACUCAGGAUGUUCUGCAGAAUGGAUGGAUUCUUCUUUAAACCAAAGCGCUGUACCUUCAGUGUUUUGGUUUUACAGAACAUUGUGAUGCUCCUUUUGUUGACUGAAUCCUAUAGAGGAGAAUCUCAGGGGGUUGGACCAUCUCAGACAAUAACAGCAUUAGUUGGUGAAGACGUUAUCCUGCCAUGCCAACUUGAACCUGCAGUAGAUGCUGUUUCCAAGGUUGUGGAGUGGGGAAGACCUGAUCUAGAACCAAGAUUUGUCCAUGUGAGGCAUGAAGGUCAAAACCUUUUGGACAACCAGAAUCCAUCAUACAAAGGAAGAACAUCAGUGUCUGUGGACAAACUGAGACAUGGAGACCUUUCCCUGAAACUGUCUGCAGUGAGACUCUCUGAUAAUGGAGUCUAUAGAUGCUACUUUCCCUCACAGAAGAAACAGUCUACUGUUGAGCUUGUUGUUGGUAAGUUAUGUAUAUGUGGUAAAAACAUUCCGACAUAACUCAGAUUCAAGGGCCUCCAAUAGAGCUGUACCUUCACAUGUUUGUAUCCAUUAGACAUGAAACUCCCAUAUAAUAGUGAGAAGCUUGCAUUGGGUGUCUUUUAGUUUUAUAGUCUCUUGCUUUGUAACACAAUGAUUGUGCAUAUUGAAACUAGCUGCACGUUUCCGUUAGUGGUUGUGUUGUUUCUCACUUAUUUCUAAGAAAUCUGCAAAUACUGUUUAUUCACUCACUUUGAAUGAAUUGUUUUGUGGUGUUAUUGCAACCAACAUACUGUGAGAAAUAAUAUAAAUUGAUUUUGGAAAUUUGUUAAAAGAAACACAAUACUGGAAGU